CAGCCGCCGCGGUAAUACGAAGGGUGCAAGCGUUAAUCGGAAUUACUGGGCGUAAAGCGUGCGUAGGCGGUUUGUUAAGUCUGUUGUGAAAUCCCCGGGCUCAACCUGGGAAUGGCAAUGGAUACUGGCAAGCUAGAGUGUGUCAGAGGAUGGUGGAAUUCCCGGUGUAGCGGUGAAAUGCGUAGAGAUCGGGAGGAACAUCAGUGGCGAAGGCGGCCAUCUGGGACAACACUGACGCUGAGGCACGAAAGCGUGGGGAGCAAACAGGAUUAGAUACCCCCGUAGUCCCUGUCUCUUAUAA
Molecule: ribosomal RNA, 301 nt
Filed under: uncultured bacterium
Lineage: Bacteria
Description: partial 16S ribosomal RNA
Rfam family: Bacterial small subunit ribosomal RNA
Source: RNAcentral